CCUUUGACUGCAAAUCUUAAGGAUUAGGUUCGAUUCCUACGUAAUCCUUUAGGGGGUUAGCCUUAGCUU
This 69-nucleotide transfer RNA is filed under the name Neurospora intermedia. Its description in RNAcentral is "tRNA-Cys". Lineage: Eukaryota; Fungi; Ascomycota; Sordariomycetes; Sordariales; Sordariaceae. The record is from RNAcentral.